GAUGAACGCUGGCGGCGUGCUUAACACAUGCAAGUUGAACGAAGUGGCGGAUGGGCGAGUAACACGUGAGGAAACUGCCUUUCACCGGGGAAUAACACUGGGAAACCAGUGCUAAUACCGCAUAGUGAAAGAUGGCCUCGCGCCUGAUUAGCUAGUAGGUGGGGUAAUGGCUCACCUAGGCGACGAUCCCUAGCUGGUCUGAAGGAUGAUCAGCCACACUGGGACUGAGACACGGCCCAGACUCCUACGUGAGGCAGCAGUGGGGAAUAUUGCACAAUGGCGAAAGCCUGAUGCAGCGACGCCGCGUGGGGGAUGAAGGCUUUCGGGUUGUAAACCUCUUUCCAUCGAACAGGGUAGGUGGAGAAGAAGCGCCGGCUAACUACGUGCCAGCAGCCGCGGUAAUUC
RNAcentral lists this ribosomal RNA (405 nucleotides) under uncultured bacterium. Its description in RNAcentral is "partial 16S ribosomal RNA". It matches the Rfam family "Bacterial small subunit ribosomal RNA", at positions 28 to 526 of the family's 1533-position model. The record is from RNAcentral.